This 69-nucleotide transfer RNA is filed under the name Chryseobacterium contaminans. RNAcentral's name for it is "tRNA_Ala_GGC". It matches the Rfam family "tRNA". From Rfam's summary of the family: Transfer RNA (tRNA) molecules are approximately 80 nucleotides in length. Their secondary structure includes four short double-helical elements and three loops (D, anti-codon, and T loops). Lineage: Bacteria; Pseudomonadati; Bacteroidota; Flavobacteriia; Flavobacteriales; Weeksellaceae. The record is from RNAcentral.
GAAUAGUGCUUUUUAAGAUAGCGCGUUUGACUGGCAGUCAAAAGGCCACGGGUUCGAAUCCCGUAUUCU